RNAcentral lists this ribosomal RNA (262 nucleotides) under uncultured bacterium. RNAcentral describes it as "partial 16S ribosomal RNA". It matches the Rfam family "Bacterial small subunit ribosomal RNA", at positions 793 to 1055 of the family's 1533-position model. The record is from RNAcentral.
GUCCACGCCGUAAACGGUGGGCGCUAGGUGUGGGUUCCUUCCACGGGAUCUGUGCCGUAGCUAACGCAUUAAGCGCCCCGCCUGGGGAGUACGGCCGCAAGGCUAAAACUCAAAGGAAUUGACGGGGGCCCGCACAAGCGGCGGAGCAUGUGGAUUAAUUCGAUGCAACGCGAAGAACCUUACCUGGGUUUGACAUGUACUGGAAAGCCGUAGAGAUACGGCCCCCCUUGUGGCCGGUACACAGGUGGUGCAUGGCUGUCGU